CAGCUAUAAUUUACUUGAUCUUGACACAAUCCUACUUGGAUAACUGUGGUAAUUCUAGAGCUAAUACAUGCAUUAAAGCUCUGACCUCACGGGAAGAGUGCAUUUAUUAGAACAAAACCAAGCGGCUUCGGCUGUUUCUGGUUGACUCAUAGUAACUGAGCUGAUCGCAUGGUCUUGCACCGGCGACGUGUCUUUCAAGUAUCUGCCGUAUCAACUUUCGAUGGUAGUGUAUCUGACUACCAUGGUGAUCACGCGUAACGGAGAAUAAGGGUUCGGCUCCGGAGAGUUCGCCUGAGAAAUCGCGAACACAUCUAAGGAAGGCAGCAGGCGCGAAAAUUACCCACUCUCAGCACGAGGAGGUAGUGACGAAAAAUAACGAGACCGUUCUCUUAUGAGGCCGGUCAUCGGAAUGGGUACAAUUUAAACCCUUUAACGAGUAUCUAUGAGAGGGCAAGUCUGGUGCCAGCAGCCGCGGUAAUUCCAGCUCUCAAAGUGCAUAGAAUUAUUG
Molecule: ribosomal RNA, 508 nt
Filed under: Acrobeloides sp. Sourhope farm
Lineage: Eukaryota; Metazoa; Nematoda; Chromadorea; Rhabditida; Cephalobidae
Description: SSU rRNA
Rfam family: Eukaryotic small subunit ribosomal RNA
Source: RNAcentral